CCACUGGGUAUAUUAAGCAGUAAUACAUAGAAUUUUCCUUUUAUCAUUGGAAACAACAACAACAGGAAAAAAUGGAUGCCGCCUCUCUGAGCUAAUUGCUUAGCAACAUUUGUUAGGGGGUGUGUGUAGAUUUAAAUUGUAGCACGUAUUCAGGGUCAGGAAAGAGAAUGUAGGGGGAUGAGGAACAAAUUAUCCAGUGUGUAAGUGAGUCAGCAGAAAGCGCCAGGCCCAAGCAGACAAAGCCUCUGGGUUAAUUCCCAGAACUAGCUGAGGCCCAUUUAAUCUCUAGUGAUAGGAUGUUUUUCCUUAAAAGUCACUUUUUGGUUUUUUUGUUGCUUUUUCCAGAUAAAGCCUUAGUUAGUAGCCUCUAAAUAUCAACUAUGCAGAUAAACACACAGAUUUUCCACACGUUUUCUUUUUGCCAUUCUUUAAAUGACAGAUGUUAAUUAAGACUUCUACCCAAAGAAAUAAGGCAUAAGGGUUUUGUUGAAUGUGUGUUUGUUCCUCUAGGGAAAAUUAAUGGAAACAUAAAAAUAGAGAUAUUUUGUGUGUUCAUCUAUCCUAAAAUGUGAACUUUAUAUUCAAAAACUAAGUGCAGAUACUGGUGCAAACUGUAGUUAGAAUCAUGGAAUGUCUUUGGGUUGUUAAGAUAAAACCAUCCCAGUGUUCAAUUCUGAGAAAGUUUUAGAUUCUGUGGCACAGUGUUCAGGUUUGUGGAGCUAAACAGAUGGUCAGACUAUAAUUAAAAAGCUUUGAAUAUUAAUGUCAAAUUCUUUCUUCAUUUUCUUUAGUCUUCAUUCUUCUUUCCUCUAGUCUGAGCUCUUCAGUUAACCAUUCCAUCAACCAAUUGCUACACUAGAAUAUAAGUUGCUAAGAGUCAGGGGAGGAAAGGUUAAACUGUCUUUCACCUCCUUUUCUCACUCACGUUGACCAUCUAUGCUGUGUUCCCACUGAAUUCAAAAGUAAAGACUAUAGGCAUUUCUAGGAGACGGUUUACAUCCCAGCACAGACUCAGACAGGGACUGGUAGGAUUUUAAUCAGACUGCUUUUGAAUAACUUAGUAUUAAAUUACAUUUUUCUCAGAUACUCCCAAAGUACCGUUUGCUUGAAAGUAACUAUUUGUGAUCUUUAUUUAAUUUCCUCAUACUGUAAUACUUCUUUUUUCCAGCCUUUCUUACAUAUGUACAUUUUAGAUCGGGUUAGUACUUAAAUUUUGGACACUUUUCCGAACUGUUACCCAAACAGGUCAAGAAUACUUUUAAAAAUCUCAGUAGUAAAAUCAAAGGGGUCUAUAUGUCCAGAACUUAGAGUCAUCACUGGUGACCUGAAUUAUUUUUCUCUUCUUUGUGUUAAAAAUAGAUUUCUCUACUAUAUAAUGUAGUAGCAGCUACAUUGCAUGGCUUCCUCAAUACUCUUCAAGAUUAUUCAGAAGAGACACAGACCUUUUUUAGGCCUCUUAUUUCACAUAAUACUCUGCCUUGCUUAUUUUCAUUACUUCCCCUGGAAUAAACCUACUUUGCAAAGGUCUGAGUCAGAGAGGCCAUAUGAAUCCUUAGUACCAAUUUUAUGUUCCUCAGAAAACUCUCUAUACAUUAUUUACUCCCAUUUGCCAAUAAUAAUAUAAUUCUAUUUUAAUCUAGUUUUAAAAUAUUUUGUAAUAAAGCACUAAUGGAAACCUAAUUGAAAUACAAACAAGAUGAUUAUUACCUAAGAUAACUUGGAAAUACUUCUGUUUUUGAAGUUAACAGCUCCAUCUACCCUCUAAGCACAUUUAGGAGUCAGCAGUAACCAAGACCAGCCAAGUGGCAUGUUUUUCUAUGUGACAACCUGCCCUUUAUUUGUCACAUCUCAGCUAUAUUAUAUUUUCUGUCCUUGCGGCCAUAAACUUCCCUUUUUUUGCUUCUCUAUUCUGUUUGCAGGGGUAGUGUGCCCUGUGCCCGCAUAUUGGGUUUUCUUUCCUGUACCUGUGAAAUUACCAAGAAUUACCCCAAUUUUGGCCAGAGGCAUUAAAAGAGAAGUUAUUCUCAGUUGAUAAAUGUAUUACUGUUUUAUAUAGGUAGUCGGAAAGUUGACCAAGUUUGGCCAACUUUUAAAAUCCUGGCUAUGUUACAUAAUUAAUUACAUAUACCUUCUGAGACCUUCAGAUAAGCAAGGGGCCCUUUCACCAGUAGAGGUAGGUUUCCAACCUAUACGUAAUUUCCUGGCCAGCCUCCAGAGAAAGGAUUCAAGCUUUGUACUGUUCUUUUGUUGGCUGUCAUUGAAAAACUAUAUUAUAGAAUGUAUCAAAAAUAUCUAAUUGUUCUUAAGAAGAGUAUAUAAAUCUGGAGCUUGCCCUUGUUUGUUGCUUGCUAAACAUUGUAAAGCUUAAAAGAAAAGGAAAGGAAAUCUCUGGCUGGUGAAAAUUUUGUGCCCCAAAUAAUGUGUUAAUCAAAGUUAUCUACCACGGUAACCAAGUGAUGAGUGUUUUCUCUUUUAUUACAAGCAAGAAAAUUUAUUUGCAGUUGUAAAACUUAUUGUGGGACUGCAGGCCUAUUUACUAUAAAUGAUUGGAAAUAAGGAUUCUGAUUUUUAGUCUGGGUUAAGCACAUAUUUCCAACCCUUGCGGUAUGAAUUUUCAUAAAGGAAAGACUUUUGUUUGGUAACAGAAGGAAAAACAGGACUUAUUUAUACAGUGAAUGUUCACUCUGUAGAGGAGCUUCCCUCCAGUUACACAUCAUGUUCUUACUUUAGCCGCCUCCACGCUUGAUAUAGAUGUCAACAUGUUUUACAAUGAGUCUUGAAGGAAGGAGCCUACAUAAUUGUUGCUCCUCCGGGUGAAAGGCCCUGGUUACUGUACUGCAUUUGUUUGUAGGGAGGUGUGUUUUUGCUAACUUGAAGGGAUAUACUGUAUUUUAAAUAAGUGUGUGACUUAAUAUUUUGGGAUUUUUUUUCCUCCUUUAAAACUGGACCUGAACACAGCUUUGAGUUGAUAUUUGUAAUAAUCUCAGGACCUGAAAGAUUGUAGCAUUUAGUGUGUCUUAAAAAUUAUGUACUGUACCAGCCAUGGAUUUUUGUAAAUAUACCUGUCUCCCUUUUUUGUAUUAUUUUAGUAAAAAAAAUAAUAAUAAAUUUAAAUACAAUGGGGUGGUGACGACAUGUGGAUGGGUGUGGGUAUGUAUGUGUGUGUGUUUGUAUAAGGCUCUUUUGAGAUGAACUGGUGCUUGUUUAAUUUCCGGCUCUAAUGAGAGCAGGAAUAUGGACAAACUGCUGCUACUGAACCCUGCACUGAGCCUAGCUGUUUCCAUUGCAUUUCCUAGUGAUUGACCAGGAAAUGACUAAGUUAAAUUCUUCUUCCCACUGCCAUCUUGCCUUUGAAUUCUCAGUUCUACACACUUUUUGAACUUCAGUGGUAAAUCUUUCCAAACUUUGGGUGGUUUGCUGGUCUGUAGUUUUUAAAGAGCUCUUGUCACUAUUUUCUAAGAAGAAAGAAAGGUAAAUUUUUGUAACCAAAAAAAAAAUCACAUUUCAUAAAAUCCUGAUGAAUUUUGGACAUGUGAGAGGACUUGAACAUUCCUAAAUGUGGAUCUGUGAAUUUAGUAAAUUGACCCCAUUGAUAUACUCUUUCGGUGCAGGGAUUUCUUUUUUUUUUUUUUCGUAACAGCCUUGCUCAUAUUCCAGGUGUAGCUAAGCAAACCCCUGUUUUAAAGCAGGAGCCUUAUUUGAUUCAGUGUAGAUGUUUUCCUGUCUAUCCUUUGUGACAGGGCCUUUUACAUGAGUGUUUUUUCUUUUUGUAUGUGUUAUGUGUUGUAUUAAAUAAAGAGGAAUGUACAUAUU
Molecule: long non-coding RNA, 3813 nt
Filed under: Phocoena sinus (vaquita)
Lineage: Eukaryota; Metazoa; Chordata; Mammalia; Artiodactyla; Phocoenidae
Description: lncRNA (ENSPSNG00000018316.1)
Source: RNAcentral